GUAAUUUUGAGUACGACCAAUAAAAAAAUUCCUCUGAUCUGCUAUGAUUCAUAUGGCAUAUAGAAGGUAUGUUCUGUUCCACGAUCGAAAGCAAACUUCUUAUUGUUCUUGAGUUGCCAAUUCUUUGUUUCAAGACACAUUUAAAAGUGGUGUUUAUGGCGGGACAAAAAAGGUACACAUUCAGAAGCAUGCAACUGCAUACGCCAAGGCAGA
This 213-nucleotide unclassified non-coding RNA is filed under the name Hevea brasiliensis (rubber tree). The record is from RNAcentral. Lineage: Eukaryota; Viridiplantae; Streptophyta; Magnoliopsida; Malpighiales; Euphorbiaceae.